UGUCCACUUAUGGCGGACGAAAGGUGGGUACGUGAAGGGAAAUGACUAAUGAGAUGAUUGAAACUUGAAAGCAACAAAUUCAAUCGGCGGCAUAUUCCAGCUCCGAUGGAAUCCCCAACACGCCGUGUUCGACCCGCUUCGAUCUCUCCCUCGUCUUCUUCCUCUACCCAUCAGUCUUCCCCUCUCUCGAUUUCCUGUCUUGAUCAGUUACUGAGGCUAGUGUGGCCUCGUCGAUCUCCGAGGUGGCAAUGAGAAAGAUGGAUGAAUCUGCUUCGCCGGGGUGGCAAUCGAGCGCUCCCUUCUUCCUCUUCCACGGCUAUCCGCUGGUCUCCGCCGUCCUCGCCUUUGUCAUCGCUCAAUCAGCCAAGAUCUUCACUACCUGGUAUGAUGAAAGGCGCUGGGAUCCUAAGCGGCUUAUUGGUUCUGGUGGUAUGCCUUCAUCCCAUUCAGCGACAGUGGUUGCGCUAGCAGUAGCCACUGGACUUCAUGAUGGCUGGGGCAGUUCUUCUUUUGCUACAUCCACAAUAUUAGCAGCUGUGGUGAUAUGUGAUGCUUCUGGCGUCCGAUUGCAUGCAGGAAAGCAGGCAGAGGUAUGUAGGAACUAGUAGCAUCGUGACUUAAAUUGUUGUUUUCUUUUGAACAUUCAACAAUUUGUUGCUAUCAACACUCAACAGUGAAGUUAGAGCAGCCCAGUUUUAAUUCAUUCCAGGUAUGAAAAACUUAAAAAUAGAAGAAAACAUAACUGAGGAUUAGGCGUAUUGACUCUGGAACUAAAUCUAAUGUGAGCUAACGAUCCUAGAGAAAACCUAAGCGAAUCACACCCUGAAUGUUCUCUGAACAACUUGUUUAAACACCAUUAAUGUUUCUUGGGAGAGUAAGAAGGUUUCUGUCAUGUGCAAAUUUGCCUUUUUAAAAUACUGGAAAUACAUAGAAAAAGAAAGAAUGCCCAUGUUGUGAUUCUCUGCAGUUACUUUUUUACAGUGAGAUAUUGUGCUAAUACAAAAAAGUGUCAUUCUUAUCGAAUUCUCGAUAUCUAACAUUCUUUUCGAAGGCCAAGUAAAUAUGCAGAUUUCAUUACAACAUACUAAGGGCCAAGGUAUUACAUGAUACCUUGAUAAACAGUUACAGGACUUGAUAUUGUGUUAAAUCAGCUUCUAUAUGAACUUCCAGAAGAGCAUCCACUCUAUGACUACAGACCACUGCACGAACUUCUUGGCCAUACUCCUCUUCAGGUUGCAGUCGGUGCGGUACUGGGCUGUGCCGUAGCUGUAGUAGAUCAAUUAGUAGGCACAUUGGCUCGAAGCGCAUGGCAAACAGAAUUAGUAGACACAAGUUGAUAUAAAUUGACAUCGAGCAGUGCUUAAAUCUAAAGAAAUAUUAGUAUUGGAUAGUCAAGUUGUUCAUACAAAGGGUGAAAUUUAAUACACACACUUAGUCUAUAUGUGUGUCGCUGUGAAUGCUACUACUAUCAUUAGAUUUCACUGUACCAUUCUUUCUGUAAUAUAUAUCAGUGUUUGUCGAAAUUUGUGCUUUGCAAUAUCAAGUUUUAGAGAUGUAAACCAACAAGAAGAAAUGUCUGUAUGAUUGAAAAUGUUUGCCGAUACUUUGAUUGAUUGAAAACAUUUCCAUUUCAUACUGUGCAACAUGGCAU
Molecule: RNA transcript, 1651 nt
Organism: Zingiber officinale
Lineage: Eukaryota; Viridiplantae; Streptophyta; Magnoliopsida; Zingiberales; Zingiberaceae
Exons: 5
Source: RefSeq, a predicted model, not a curated record